AAGUAUAUUGUACAUUUAAUUUCCAAUUAAAAGGAACUGAUAUUAGUUUA
RNAcentral lists this transfer RNA (50 nucleotides) under Cheiracanthium brevispinum. Its description in RNAcentral is "tRNA-Gly". The record is from RNAcentral. Lineage: Eukaryota; Metazoa; Arthropoda; Arachnida; Araneae; Cheiracanthiidae.